Molecule: long non-coding RNA, 401 nt
Organism: Lynx canadensis (Canada lynx)
Lineage: Eukaryota; Metazoa; Chordata; Mammalia; Carnivora; Felidae
Exons: 2
Source: RefSeq, a predicted model, not a curated record
UGGAGGGCGAUGGUGGCGGAGCUGCUGGGGGCGGAGGCAACGUAGCCCCCGAGGAAAAGGAGCUCUGCCUCGCCUGAGAGGAGCGGAGGAUGGAGAGCCGGCCUGGGUCCUUCCAGUACGUCCCCGUGCAGCUGCAAGGGGGGGCGCCCUGGGGCUUCACCCUGAAGGGGGGUCUGGAACACUGCGAACCGCUCACAGUGUCUAAGGCUAAAGAACCCCAGCAACUUCAGCUAUUCCUUAUGGCAUCUGAGAUCCAGCCUUCUCUCCUGCUUCCUCCUCCUACUUUGGAUGUCGCCUGUCCAUGUUUCUCUUGAAUUAUGGACCCUGCAGCCAAAUACAAUAGCUGAGGAGAAUCUGACCAGAAGGAUGAUUCUUUAAAAAAAAAAUACAACUGAAGACCA